RNAcentral lists this ribosomal RNA (119 nucleotides) under Alteromonas sp. BL110. The record is from RNAcentral. Lineage: Bacteria; Pseudomonadati; Pseudomonadota; Gammaproteobacteria; Alteromonadales; Alteromonadaceae.
CCUGGCAGCCAUAGCGAUACGGUACCACCUGACUCCAUUCCGAACUCAGAAGUGAAACGUAUUAGCGCCGACCGGUGACCGGCGCAGGGAUAGUGUGGGGUUCCGGUGACCGGCCCAGC